Molecule: ribosomal RNA, 279 nt
Filed under: uncultured bacterium
Lineage: Bacteria
Description: partial 16S ribosomal RNA
Rfam family: Bacterial small subunit ribosomal RNA
Source: RNAcentral
CUAAACGUUUGAGUGGCCGGACCGGCGCACGGGUGAGUAACACGUAUCCAACCUGCCUCAUACUCGGGGAUAGCCUUUCGAAAGAAAGAUUAAUACCCGAUGUUAUAGUCCUACCGCAUGAUGGGAUUAUUAAAGAAUUUCGGUAUGGGAUGGGGAUGCGUUCCAUUAGUUAGUUGGCGGGGUAACGGCCCACCAAGACAACGAUGGAUAGGGGUUCUGAGAGGAAGGUCCCCCACAUUGGAACUGAGACACGGUCCAAACUCCUACGGGAGGCAGCAG